ACAUUUCUAGCUUGCUAGAAGAUGACGAGCGGCGGACGGGUGAGUAAUGCUUGGGAAUAUGCCUUAGGGUGGGGGACAACAGUUGGAAACGACUGCUAAUACCGCACAACGUCCACGGACCAAAGGGGGCUUCGGCUCUCGCCCUUAGAUUAGCCCAAGUGGGAUUAGCUAGUUGGUGAGGUAAUGGCUCACCAAGGCGACGAUCCCUAGCUGGUUUGAGAGGAUGAUCAGCCACACUGGAACUGAGACACGGUCCAGACUCCUACGGGAGGCAGCAGUGGGGAAUAUUGCACAAUGGGCGCAAGCCUGAUGCAGCCAUGCCGCGUGUGUGAAGAAGGCCUUAGGGUUGUAAAGCACUUUCAGUAAGGAGGAAAGGUUAGUAGUUAAUACCUGCUAGCUGUGACGUUACUUACAGAAGAAGCACCGGCUAACUCCGUGCCAGCAGCCGCGGUAAUACGGAGGGUGCGAGCGUUAAUCGGAAUUACUGGGCGUAAAGCGUACGCAGGCGGUUUGUUAAGCGAGAUGUGAAAGCCCCGGGCUCAACCUGGGAACUGCAUUUCGAACUGGCAAACUAGAGUAUGAUAGAGGGUGGUAGAAUUUCAGGUGUAGCGGUGAAAUGCGUA
This 623-nucleotide ribosomal RNA is filed under the name uncultured bacterium. RNAcentral's name for it is "bacterial SSU rRNA". It matches the Rfam family "Bacterial small subunit ribosomal RNA", at positions 69 to 692 of the family's 1533-position model. The record is from RNAcentral.